ACGUUAGCGGCGGACGGGUGAGUAACACGUGGGUAACCUACCUAUAAGACUGGGAUAACUUCGGGAAACCGGAGCUAAUACCGGAUAACAUUUGGAACCGCAUGGUUCUAAAGUGAAAGAUGGUUUUGCUAUCACUUAUAGAUGGACCCGCGCCGUAUUAGCUAGUUGGUAAGGUAACGGCUUACCAAGGCGACGAUACGUAGCCGACCUGAGAGGGUGAUCGGCCACACUGGAACUGAGACACGGUCCAGACUCCUACGGGAGGCAGCAGUAGGGAAUCUUCCGCAAUGGGCGAAAGCCUGACGGAGCAACGCCGCGUGAGUGAUGAAGGGUUUCGGCUCGUAAAACUCUGUUAUUAGGGAAGAACAAACGUGUAAGUAACUGUGCACGUCUUGACGGUACCUAAUCAGAAAGCCACGGCUAACUACGUGCCAGCAGCCGCGGUAAUACGUAGGUGGCAAGCGUUAUCCGGAAUUAUUGGGCGUAAAGCGCGCGUAGGCGGUUUCUUAAGUCUGAUGUGAAAGCCCACGGCUCAACCGUGGAGGGUCAUUGGAAACUGGGAAACUUGAGUGCAGAAGAGGAAAGUGGAAUUCCAUGUGUAGCGGUGAAAUGCGCAGAGAUAUGGAGGAACACCAGUGGCGAAGGCGACUUUCUGGUCUGUAACUGACGCUGAUGUGCGAAAGCGUGGGGAUCAAACAGGAUUAGAUACCCUGGUAGUCCACGCCGUAAACGAUGAGUGCUAAGUGUUAGGGGGGUUUCCGGCCCCUUAGUGCUGCAGCUAACGCA
Molecule: ribosomal RNA, 786 nt
Filed under: Staphylococcus saprophyticus
Lineage: Bacteria; Bacillati; Bacillota; Bacilli; Caryophanales; Staphylococcaceae
Description: bacterial SSU rRNA
Rfam family: Bacterial small subunit ribosomal RNA
Source: RNAcentral